AUUGAACGCUGGCGGCAGGCCUAACACAUGCAAGCCGAACGGUAACAGGAAGCAGCUUGCUGCUUUGCUGACGAGUGGCGGACGGGUGAGUAAUGUCUGGGAAACUGCCUGAUGGAGGGGGAUAACUACUGGAAACGGUAGCUAAUACCGCAUAACGUCGCAAGACCAAAGAGGGGGACCUUCGGGCCUCUUGCCAUCGGAUGUGCCCAGAUGGGAUUAGCUAGUAGGUGGGGUAACGGCUCACCUAGGCGACGAUCCCUAGCUGGUCUGAGAGGAUGACCGGCCACACUGGAACUGAGACACGGUCCAGACUCCUACGGGAGGCAGCAGUGGGGAAUAUUGCACAAUGGGCGCAAGCCUGAUGCAGCCAUGCCGCGUGUAUGAAGAAGGCCUUCGGGUUGUAAAGUACUUUCAGCGGGGAGGAAGGGAGUAAAGUUAAUACCUUUGCUCAUUGACGUUACCCGCAGAAGAAGCACCGGCUAACUCCGUG
This 490-nucleotide ribosomal RNA is filed under the name uncultured bacterium. RNAcentral describes it as "partial 16S ribosomal RNA". It matches the Rfam family "Bacterial small subunit ribosomal RNA", at positions 30 to 507 of the family's 1533-position model. The record is from RNAcentral.